GUGGGGAAUUUUGGACAAUGGACGAAAGCCUGAUCCAGCCAUGCCGCGUGCAGGAUGAAGGCCUUCGGGUUGUAAACUGCUUUUGUACGGAACGAAAAGACUCCUUCUAAUAAAGGGGGUCCAUGACGGUACCGUAAGAAUAAGCACCGGCUAACUACGUGCCAGCAGCCGCGGUAAUACGUAGGGUGCAAGCGUUAAUCGGAAUUACUGGGCGUAAAGCGUGCGCAGGCGGUUAUAUAAGACAGAUGUGAAAUCCCCGGGCUCAACCUGGGAAAUGCAUUUGUGACUGUAUAGCUAGAGUACGGUAGAGGGGGAUGGAAUUCCGCGUGUAGCAGUGAAAUGCGUAGAUAUGCGGAGGAACACCGAUGGCGAAGGCAAUCCCCUGGACCUGUACUGACGCUCAUGCACGAAAGCGUGGGGAGCAAACAGGAUUAGAUACCCUAGUAGUCC
RNAcentral lists this ribosomal RNA (450 nucleotides) under uncultured bacterium. Its description in RNAcentral is "partial 16S ribosomal RNA". It matches the Rfam family "Bacterial small subunit ribosomal RNA", at positions 354 to 796 of the family's 1533-position model. The record is from RNAcentral.